RNAcentral lists this ribosomal RNA (253 nucleotides) under uncultured bacterium. RNAcentral's name for it is "partial 16S ribosomal RNA". It matches the Rfam family "Bacterial small subunit ribosomal RNA", at positions 524 to 776 of the family's 1533-position model. The record is from RNAcentral.
GACAGAGGGUGCAAACGUUGUUCGGAAUUACUGGGCGUAAAGCGUGCGCAGGCGGCUUUGCAAGACAGAUGUGAAAUCCCCGGGCUCAACCUGGGAACUGCAUUUGUGACUGCAAGGCUGGAGUACGGUAGAGGGGGAUGGAAUUCCGCGUGUAGCAGUGAAAUGCGUAGAUAUGCGGAGGAACACCGAUGGCGAAGGCAAUCCCCUGGACCUGUACUGACGCUCAUGCACGAAAGCGUGGGGAGCAAACAGG